CGGGUAGAGUAACACGUAGGUAACCUGCCCAUGUGCCCGGGAUAACUUCUGGAAACGGAUGCUAAAACCGGAAUAGGUAGCAGACAAGCAUUUGACUGCUAUUAAAGUGGCUAAGGCCAUGAACAUGGAUGGACCUGCGGUGCAUUAGCUAGUUGGUGAGGUAACGGCCCACCAAGGCGACGAUGCAUAGCCGGCCUGAGAGGGCGGACGGCCACAUUGGGACUGAGACACGGCCCAAACUCCUACGGGAGGCAGCAUG
Molecule: ribosomal RNA, 259 nt
Filed under: uncultured bacterium
Lineage: Bacteria
Description: partial 16S ribosomal RNA
Rfam family: Bacterial small subunit ribosomal RNA
Source: RNAcentral